RNAcentral lists this ribosomal RNA (253 nucleotides) under uncultured bacterium. RNAcentral's name for it is "partial 16S ribosomal RNA". It matches the Rfam family "Bacterial small subunit ribosomal RNA", at positions 524 to 776 of the family's 1533-position model. The record is from RNAcentral.
UACAGAGGGGGCAAGCGUUGUUCGGAAUUACUGGGCGUAAAGGGCGCGUAGGCGGCCCGCUAAGUCGAACGUGAAAUCCCCGAGCUCAACUCGGGAACUGCGUCCGAUACUGGCGGGCUUGAAUCCGGGAGAGGGAUGCGGAAUUCCAGGUGUAGCGGUGAAAUGCGUAGAUAUCAGGAGGAACACCGGUGGCGAAGGCGGCUUUCUGGACAGAUACCGACGCUGAGGCACGAAAGCUAGGGGAGCAAACAGG